AAAUUAGUUUAAACUAAAACAAUAACUUGUCAAGUUAUAAAUAUAUUAUUUAUAUAUUCUCUUUUA
RNAcentral lists this transfer RNA (66 nucleotides) under Urostylis sp. HL-2012. Its description in RNAcentral is "tRNA-Asp". The record is from RNAcentral. Lineage: Eukaryota; Metazoa; Arthropoda; Insecta; Hemiptera; Urostylididae.